Non-coding RNA from Paralichthys olivaceus (Japanese flounder), 552 nucleotides. The record is from RefSeq and is a predicted model, not a curated record. NCBI's taxonomy places the organism in Eukaryota, Metazoa, Chordata, Actinopteri, Pleuronectiformes, Paralichthyidae.
AGCUAGAGAGCCUGUGGCCAGCUUAUGUUUUAUAUGCUUAAUAUGUUCUAGACCUUAAUUGUAAAACUCUAGAGCAUGAAAUACAUGUUUUAGCUCAUUGAAUCAAACUAAAGAUUUGUCAAAUAAUUCUGAAACAUUUUUCAUAUAGUCUUCAUGUUUGGAGUGAAGGAGUGAUCAGCCAAGUGACAAGCUGUGCCUGAGUGCUAUGGAAAUGCUGUUAAAUAGAGUUUAGUGUCCCUUUAAGGUAAUAUUAACAUGGCUAUUUAAAGAUACAGAUUCCUGUCACCUGCAGGCCUCCACCUGUGAAAAAGGACGGUGUUCCUGCUUGGCAAGGUGAAACUUCAUGAGAAGCAUCAGGGCCUGACAUCUCCUUGACUGGAUCGCUACUGGCUACGUCAUGGUCAACAGCUGGUUCCUCUUCAGCUCAGCCACCUUCAUUUUCAGCAGCUGCUGCUCCAUCAGGUGUUUUCAGUGCAGAAUCAGAUGUGUGACAUAAUGAGGGAGAUAGACAAAGAGAGAGACGCAUGUGAGGCUCAAAUUGAGAACAGAACA